CAGCCGCCGCGGUAAUACGAAGGGUGCAAGCGUUACUCGGAAUUACUGGGCGUAAAGCGUGCGUAGGUGGUGGUUUAAGUCCGUUGUGAAAGCCCUGGGCUCAACCUGGGAAUUGCAGUGGAUACUGGGUCACUAGAGUGUGGUAGAGGAUAGUGGAAUUUCCGGUGUAGCAGUGAAAUGCGUAGAGAUCGGAAGGAACAUCUGUGGCGAAGGCGACUAUCUGGGCCAACACUGACACUGAGGCACGAAAGCGUGGGGAGCAAACAGGAUUAGAUACCCCCGUAUCCCUGUCUCUUAUACA
This 301-nucleotide ribosomal RNA is filed under the name uncultured bacterium. RNAcentral's name for it is "partial 16S ribosomal RNA". It matches the Rfam family "Bacterial small subunit ribosomal RNA", at positions 509 to 809 of the family's 1533-position model. The record is from RNAcentral.